Molecule: long non-coding RNA, 2408 nt
Filed under: Homo sapiens (human)
Lineage: Eukaryota; Metazoa; Chordata; Mammalia; Primates; Hominidae
Description: HSALNT0155390
Source: RNAcentral
GGGUGGCCUGUAAGAGGACACUUAGGGUUUGUCCCUAAGUGACACCAGACAAGAGGAGGAGUCUAGGACCUGUCUUUCAGAGGGAUCCAAAAGCUGUGGUCCAGGAAACCCAAAAUUGUUCCUUUGUAACUUCCACUGGGGACUGCAGAAGGGUCAGCAGCAAAAUCUGAAAGGCUUCCGAGGCGAUCGAGCAACGUCAGUCUUCAGCUGCUAAGCCGAGAAGAUCUGGGAAGGAGUCAGUCAGAGAGCCUUGGGCCAGAGUUCCAGGGGCUCUGGGAGUGGCUGCCAGGUGAGUUGAACAGUCCGAUUUCCAGUGGGGUCCCCCACAGAUGGGACACGGCUUAGGAGGAAUCCCGGGCUGCGGGCAUUCCUUGGCCUGGUGGCCAGAUUUCUGGCACUUGUAGCAAGCGCCUGGGGGAGGCAGUUCUGGAGGAAUGCCUGGCCACUGCGGUUUAGGCGUUUGGAAGUUCUUGUGUGCUGGAGAUGUGGCUGGGGUUUGUCUCACAGUGGAGGCAAGGAAUUGCAACUCAGAAAUAUGUUGCUAGUUGGCUGCCUAUACUCUAUUAUUGUACACCUUGAAGGUGAGGUUAAUUAAGUCCUGUUGUGGGGUUUGAGGGCCGGAAUUUAAUUUUUGGAGUUUUAUUUAAUGUUGGGAGCAGAUUGGGUAAUAAAAUGUAUAUUGAGAAUAAGACGGCCUUUUGACCUUUUAGGGUCUAGGGCUGUAAAACGUCUCAGGGUUGCUGCCAAACGAGUCAGGAACUGGGCUGGAUUUUUAUAUUUGAUGAGAAAGAGCCUAAACGCUAUCUGAUCUGGAAUAAAGAAAAAGGAGCAUUGACCUUGACUAUGACUUUAGCUCCAGCCACCUUUUUAAGAGUAAAUUGCUGGGCAGGUGGGGGAGGGCUAGUCAUGGAACGAAACUGUAAGCUGGACCAGGUGUGAGGAGGGGAGGUGAUAAAAGGAUUAUAGGGUGGAGGAGCAGAGGCUGAGGAAGAAUUGGGACCUAGCUCGGCCUGGUGAGGAGGGGAGAGGUCAGAUAGGUCUGUAGAAAAUGAAGAUUAGAAAGACUCAGUGAUGCUUGGGGUUGGGACUGAGGGGACAGGUGGGAGGGAAAGAAGGAAGAUUUGGGACGAGUUGCAUUGGGAACAGAGGCUAGGGAGUGACUGAUGUGUAAAAGAAUGCCUGGAUGUCAGGCACCUCAGACCAUUUGCCCAUUUUACGACAAGAAUUAUUUAAAUCUUGUAGGAUGGAAAAAAUGGAAAUGCCGUUUUCUGGCUAUUUGGAACUACUGUCGAGUUUGUAUUGGGGUCAAGCGGCAUUGCAGAAGAAAAUAAGGCAUUUAGGUUUUAGGUCAGGUGUGAGUUGAAGAGGUUUUAAGUUCUUGAGAACACAGGCUAAGGGAGAAGAAGGAGGAAUGGAGGGUGGAAAUUUGCCCAUAGUGAAGGAAGCAAGCCCAGAGAAAAGAGAGAGUAGAGACACGGAGGGAAGGGGUUCGGGGGUUCUUACCCUCCAGAAAAAUGGGAAAGGGGUUGGGGUGUGGAAAUAAGGGGUCAGGGCACAGAGAUAAGAGGUGGGGCAUGGAAAUAAGGGAUCAGGGCAAAGAGAUAAGAGGUCGGGGCAUGGAAAUAAGGGAUCAGGGUGCAGAGUUAAGAGGUUGGGGCAUGGAAAUAAGGGAUUGGGGCACAGAGAUAAGAGGUCAGGGUGUGGAAAUAAGGGAUUGGGGGUUCCUGACCCCUAGAAAAGUGGGACUUGCCGCUAAGGUUAAAGGAGAAGAGGUUGAGGGGUUCUUGCCCCUCCCCCAGAAAAGCAGAGAAGGGGUAGAGACAAGGAGAGAAGGGGUUGGGGUACUUGCCCUUCCCCCAGAAAAGCAGGACUUGCCACUAAGGGUGAAGGACCAAGGCAGGCGUCCCUGCAUGGUCUGACACCUCUGAAACGUGGGUGAAUAAUCAGAGAGGCAUCCCUGCAAUGAUUAAACACCAAGGGAAGGCUGCCUUCCCAGUCCGUGACCGGCGCCGGAGUUUUGGGUCCAUGGAUAAAACGUGUCUCCUUUGUCUCUACCAGAAAAUGAAAGGAAUUGAAAUUAAGAGAAGGCAGAGAUUGAAGUGUGGCGCCAAGAUUGAAAGGAGAAAGAGGUUGAGGGAUAGUGAGGGAGGUUGGAGAAGAGAGUAAAAAGAGGCCGCUUACUGGAUUUGAAAUUGGUGAGAUGUUUCUUGGGCUGGUCGGUCUGAGGACCUGAGGUCGUAGGUGGGUCUUUCUCAACAGAGCAAAGAGCAGGAGGACAGGGGAUUGAUCUCCCACAAGAGGUCCCCCGAUCCGAGUCACGGUACCAAAUUUCAUGCGUGUCCGUGUGAAGAGACCACCAAACAGGCUUUGUGUGAGCAAUAAAGAUAUUAAUCACCUGGGUGCAGGCG